CGGCUAACUCCGUGCCAGCAGCCGCGUUAAUACGGAGGGUGCAAGCGUAUCGAAUUACUGGGCGUAAAGCGCACGCAGGCGGUCUGUCAAGUCGGAUGUGAAAUCCCCGGGCUCAACCUGGGAACUGCAUUCGAAACUGGCAGGCUAGAGCUGUAGAGGGGGUAGAAUUCCAGGUGUAGCGGUGAAAUGCGUAGAGACUGAGGAAUACCGGUGGCGAAGGCGGCCCCCUGGACAAAGACUGACGCUCAGUGCGAAGCGUGGGAGCAAACAGGAUUGAUACCUGGUAGUCCACGCCGUAAACGAUGUCGACUUGGAGGUUGCCCUUGAGGCGUGGCUUCCGGAGCUAACCGCGUUAGUCGACCGCCUGGGGAGUACGGCCGCAAGGUUAAAACUCAAAUGAAUUGACGGGGGCCGCACAAGCGGUGGAGCAUGUGGUUUAAUUCGAUGCAACGCGAAGAACCUUACCUACUCUUGACAUCCAGAGAACUUAGCAGAGAUGCUUUGGUGCCUUCGGGAACUCGAGACAGGUGCUGCAUGGCUGUCGUCAGCUCGUGUUGUGAAAUGUUGGGUAAGUCCGCAACGAGCGCAACCCUUAUCCUUUGUUGCCAGCGGUCCGGCCGGGAAUCAAAGGAACUGCCAGUGAUAAACUGGAGGAAGGUGGGAUGACGUCAAGUCAUCAUGGCCCUUACGAGUAGGGCUACACACGUGCUACAAUGGCAUAUACAAAGAGAAGCGACCUCGCGAGAGCAAGCGGACCUCAUAAAGUAUGUCGUAGUCCGGAUUGGAGUCUGCAACUCGACUCCAUGAAGUCGGAAUCGCUAGUAAUCGUAGAUCAGAAUGCUACGGUGAAUACGUUCCCGGGCCUUGUACACACCGCCCGUCACACCAUGGGAGUGGGUUGCAAAAGAAGUAGGUAGCUUAACCUUCGGAGGGCGCUUACCACUUGUGAUUCAUGACUGGGUGAAGUCGUAACAAGGUAACCGUAGGGAACUGCGGUUGGAUCACCUCCUUACCUUAAAGAA
Molecule: ribosomal RNA, 1022 nt
Filed under: Klebsiella aerogenes
Lineage: Bacteria; Pseudomonadati; Pseudomonadota; Gammaproteobacteria; Enterobacterales; Enterobacteriaceae
Description: bacterial SSU rRNA
Rfam family: Bacterial small subunit ribosomal RNA
Source: RNAcentral